Molecule: ribosomal RNA, 447 nt
Filed under: uncultured bacterium
Lineage: Bacteria
Description: bacterial SSU rRNA
Rfam family: Bacterial small subunit ribosomal RNA
Source: RNAcentral
UCCAGACUCCUACGGGAGGCAGCAGUGGGGAAUAUUGCACAAUGGGGGAAACCCUGAUGCAGCGACGCCGCGUGAGUGAAGAAGUAUUUCGGUAUGUAAAGCUCUAUCAGCAGGGAAGAAAAUGACGGUACCUGACUAAGAAGCCCCGGCUAACUACGUGCCAGCAGCCGCGGUAAUACGUAGGGGGCAAGCGUUAUCCGGAUUUACUGGGUGUAAAGGGAGCGUAGACGGCAUGGCAAGUCAGAUGUGAAAGCCCGGGGCUCAACCCCGGGACUGCUCUUGGAACUGCGUGGCUGGAGUGCAGGAGGGGCAGGCGGAAUUCCUGGUGUAGCGGUGAAAUGCGUAGAUAUCAGGAGGAACACCAGUGGCGAAGGCGGCUUGCUGGACGAUGACUGACGUUGAGGCUCGAAAGCGUGGGGAGCAAACAGGAUUAGAUACCCUCGUAUG